RNAcentral lists this long non-coding RNA (1009 nucleotides) under Bos taurus (domestic cattle). Its description in RNAcentral is "long non-coding RNA NONBTAT022614". The record is from RNAcentral. Lineage: Eukaryota; Metazoa; Chordata; Mammalia; Artiodactyla; Bovidae.
AAAGAAGGUAUCUCCUUGUGUAUGGAGAAACAGCCUGUAUUACACUAAUAUCAUGGGUCCCAGGGAAGGAGAACAAGCUGGGCUAUGCUAAAGCAGAAUAAAACACAGCUAAGAGGAAUAGAGCUCUAGUUGAUAUAUUGCUCUAUUAUCAUCAUUCUUUUUAUGAAAAGAUAGCUCUUCUCUGCUCACAAACUAAAGCAUGCAAUUCUCAGAGCCGAGAGGCUGCCCUAAAGUAUAUUUUAUAUGUCUGCUAACUUUUUUUUGGUCUGUUAGCUUUUACAGCUUGUAUCUAUCAACUGUUACUGUCUUACAAAAUACCAAAUUCAAGUAUUAUUCUCAUUUUUAUUUUAUAGAAUUCUUUAAUAAGUUUUAUCAACUCAAAGAUUGCAGCUGUUUGCUGAAGUUGGUUUUUAUAUUACAUAAUGUUUUUAUGCUCAGAAUUUAGCAGUCUCUUCUCUAAAUAAAAUUUAAUAAAACAAAUCAGAAUAACUAUUGCCAAAUGAGAAUAAACAGGGACAUAUAAAAGGAAAAGUAGGCUCAAAAGUCUUAUUAGGGACUCAUUUGGCUAAGGGGUAUGGUUUGCAGCAGAUCUAAACUCGUAGGUUCCAUUUAAUGCCAUGAACAGAACCAGUAAGGAUCCUCUCCAAAUAGUUGCUAACAGAGUAACCAUUAUUAACUUUUCAUUUGAAUUUCAAAUUUUCAUUUGAAUGAGAAUUUUCUCCACUAAAUUUUUAGUUUUUAUAUAGAUAGUUGAUAAAAAUUUAACCAACCUCAAACAUUUUAUAUCAAUUUGCAGAUAAAGCUACUCACCAACCUUAGGCAACUACUUCAGAAAGUCCUGGAACUUCAGGAAUAUACUUUCUAUUUGCCAAGUACUUCCUUCUCUAGCCAACAAUAAAUUAUCUGCUUGUCUAAAAAGCAACUUCUUGCGGUUUAUGUUUUUGCCUUAUCUUUUAAAAAAAAUAAGUUAACUACAGAAGUACUGUAAUGAAGCCUAAUAGGUAGUAAG